Non-coding RNA from Ornithorhynchus anatinus (platypus), 138 nucleotides. NCBI's taxonomy places the organism in Eukaryota, Metazoa, Chordata, Mammalia, Monotremata, Ornithorhynchidae. The record is from Rfam.
GACCUCUCAGGGUCAUACCUGGAGAGUUCCCAGUACUCUAUCAGUCUCGACUAUGGGAGGGAGAGUCAGGCAGAGGUCUGUCCAUUCCAAUCCUAGCUUGGGCAGUGGCUAGCAAGUAGAAGGCAAUCCGCUACAAGU